This 363-nucleotide unclassified non-coding RNA is filed under the name air metagenome. RNAcentral describes it as "partial contains small subunit ribosomal RNA, internal transcribed spacer 1, and 5.8S ribosomal RNA". The stretch from base 1 to 46 matches the Rfam family "Eukaryotic small subunit ribosomal RNA", at positions 1786 to 1831 of the family's 1831-position model. The record is from RNAcentral.
AAGUCGUAACAAGGUUUCCGUAGGUGAACCUGCGGAAGGAUCAUUAACGAGUUGGAACGUGGAGGUUGAUGCUGGUGCAUAUAAUGUACAUGUGCUCGCCUUCGCACUCUUCAUCCACUCAACCCCUGUGCACUUUAUCAGAGUUAGUACUAGUUGUAGUGGCCAUUUUGUUAUUCAUUGUUAGAAGGGAGGGCAAAACCCUUUCAUGACAGCAGUUGUAAUAAUGAUGGUUUCUACUAUUACUAUGAACGCUUUGAACUUUACUUAUAUAAACACUUUGCUUGUUCUUAUGAAUGUGUGUAAUGCUCCUUGUGAGCAAAAUACAAAUAUAUACAACUUUCAACAACGGAUCUCUUGGCUCUC